Molecule: ribosomal RNA, 253 nt
Filed under: uncultured bacterium
Lineage: Bacteria
Description: partial 16S ribosomal RNA
Rfam family: Bacterial small subunit ribosomal RNA
Source: RNAcentral
UACGUAGGGUGCAGGCGUUAAUCGGAAUUACUGGGCGUAAAGCGUGCGCAGGCGGUUUCUUAAGUCAGAUGUGAAAGCCCCGGGCUUAACCUGGGAACUGCGUUUGAAACUGGGAGACUUGAGUGUGGCAGAGGGGGGUGGAAUUCCACGUGUAUCAGUGAAAUGCGUAGAUAUGUGGAGGAACACCGAUGGCGAAGGCAGCCCCCUGGGUUAACACUGACGCUCAUGCACGAAAGCGUGGGGAGCAAACAGG